This 253-nucleotide ribosomal RNA is filed under the name uncultured bacterium. Its description in RNAcentral is "partial 16S ribosomal RNA". It matches the Rfam family "Bacterial small subunit ribosomal RNA", at positions 524 to 776 of the family's 1533-position model. The record is from RNAcentral.
UACGUAGGGGCCGAGCGUUGUCCGGAGUUAUUGGGCGUAAAGAGCGCGCAGGCGGUCGUGCAAGUCGCGUGUGAAAGCCCCCGGCUCAACUGGGGAGGGUCACGCGAUACUGCUCGACUCGAAGGCAGGAGAGGGAAGUGGAAUUCCCGGUGUAGUGGUGAAAUGCGUAGAUAUCGGGAGGAACACCAGUGGCGAAGGCGACUUCCUGGCCUGUUCUUGACGCUGAGGUGCGAAAGCGUGGGGAGCAAACAGG